CAUGGUUGUGGCACAGGUUUCCGAUGCGGGUACGCCGGCCGUGUGCGACCCGGGUGCGAAACUUGCCGACCGCGU
RNAcentral lists this transfer RNA (75 nucleotides) under Neisseria meningitidis. RNAcentral describes it as "tRNA-Ala(ggc)". Lineage: Bacteria; Pseudomonadati; Pseudomonadota; Betaproteobacteria; Neisseriales; Neisseriaceae. The record is from RNAcentral.